This is a long non-coding RNA of Vigna unguiculata (cowpea), 465 nucleotides long. Lineage: Eukaryota; Viridiplantae; Streptophyta; Magnoliopsida; Fabales; Fabaceae. The record is from RefSeq and is a predicted model, not a curated record.
ACAAGAGACUUACGAGACCAACUAGAAGAAGGGAUGCAACUACGAUUUGUUUCUUCCCUCAAAACUUUCACAGGAACUGCGUAGCUUGCGGAAACCUGUGUUCCAAGAUGAUGGUCAAAUAAAGCAAUCUUAUCUUGUCGCUACAUUCAUUCAAAUAAGCAACGAAGCCAGGCAUAUGUGACAACGAAAUUCAAGGAAACAAAUGUGAAAUCGGCAUGAUAAUCAUAUAAGGGCAGGAUUUUGCGUAGGCCUUUCAAAGAUAUUGCCUAGUUACCAGCAUUUUUAUUCUCUCUUGCUGAAUUAACUCUCUAACAGGUCUGUAAGCAGCAGUUGUACACAAGUUCUACAUUUAACAAUUAGUGAGAGUGAAAAAUGUGUUAGGCACCUUUGAGCAUCAAAAGCUAAAAAUAGUAAAAGCAUUUUCAGGUUGUAGCACGAUAGUCACAUAUAUAGUGAAAUAGUUAG